GACGAACGCUGGCGGCGUGCUUAACACAUGCAAGUCGAACGGAGUUACGUAUGAAGUAUUUCGGUACGGACUAUGUAACUUAGUGGCGAACGGGUGAGUAACACGUGGGCAACCUGCCCUUAACCGGGGGAUAACAUUGUGAAAACAGUGCUAAUACCGCAUAACAGAGUAUCGGGCAUCCGAUAUUUUUAAAAGGAGCAAUCCGGUUUAGGAUGGGCCCGCGUCCAAUUAGCUAGUUGGUGAGGUAACGGCUCACCAAGGCUACGAUUGGUAGCCGAACUGAGAGGUUGAUCGGCCACAUUGGGGCUGAGACACGGCCCAGACUCCUACGGGAGGCAGCAGUGGGGAAUAUUGGGCAAUGGGCGAAAGCCUGACCCAGCGACGCCGCGUGAAGGAUGAAGGUCUUCGGAUUGUAAACUUCUUUGAUCAGGGAAGAAAGAAAUGACGGUACCUGAAGAACAAGCCACGGCUAACUACGUG
Molecule: ribosomal RNA, 480 nt
Filed under: uncultured bacterium
Lineage: Bacteria
Description: bacterial SSU rRNA
Rfam family: Bacterial small subunit ribosomal RNA
Source: RNAcentral